UUUCUUGUGUUCCCAUUUGGAAUAAAAGUUUUUUUUUUUUUUUUUUGGUAUUAUCAGUUGCAACUAAAAUCGUGCUUCCUUAAAUAUUUUCUAUUUGUGGAUAAGUAGUCAAUGAUUAGCUUUUUUGGUUUUCUUACCUUCAAAGUUUUCAACUUUAUCCCUUUGAUUUUUGAUCUUUGUGAUUUUUGAAGUCAAAAAGUAUAUGCUUCAUUGGAUUUUGGUGGUGUUGGUGUGAACUGAAAAUGCAAGUCAACUAAGUAGAAUGAAGUGAAUAUUGAUAUAGAAUUUGUUUUUGAUGAUUUUAGUGUUAAGGGGUUGGUGAAAUUUAGCUUUGAUUUGAUUUUGCAUCUCUUUCCAGUUUUAAGCUUUGAGGUGGGUUUGGUUGGGGUUUAUUGUGUGAGGUGAUUUUGGUGAAAUGGGGAGUAAUUAUAAUUUCAAGAACUUUGGAAAUGAGCCACCAGGGGAGGGUGGAAGUGGUGGUUGUGGAAAGCAGCCGGGGAACUUUCAGUUGCCGCGGCAGUCAUCUAUCUAUUCGUUGACGUUUGACGAGUUUUUGAGCUCAACAGGAGGAAUUGGAAAGGAUUUUGGGUCAAUGAACAUGGAUGAGUUGCUGAAGAAUAUAUGGAGUGCUGAGGAGAGUCAAACUAUGGGAGGUACUGGGAUUGGUGGGCAAGAGGUUGGUGUUUCAGGUGGGCAUUUGCAGAGGCAAGGCUCUUUGACUUUACCUAGGACACUGAGUCAGAAGACUGUUGAUGAAGUUUGGAGGGAUAUGUCAAAGGAGCAUGGUGGUGGUGGUGGUGGUGGAAAGGAUGGAAAUAGUAUUGGGGUGCCACCAAAUAUGCCUCAGAGGCAACAGACUUUAGGGGAGAUAACUCUUGAGGAGUUUUUGGUUAGAGCUGGAGUUGUGAGAGAAGAUGCACAGUUAGCUGCGAAAUCGAAUAAUGCCGGAGGAAUCUUUGCUGAUUUGUCCUAUGCUGGGAAUAAUACAGGGCUUGCAUUUGGAUAUCAACAACCUAAUAGGAACACAGGUUUGAUGGCUGGUAGUAUCCCUAACAAGAAUGGUGAAUCUGUUAUUCAGUCUGCUAAUUUGCCACUGAAUGUGAAUGGGGUUAGAUCCACACAACAACAGCUAAGACCACAGCAACUGCAACAGAACCAACAACCACAGCCUCAGCCUCAGCCUCAGCCUCAGCCUCAGCCACAGCAGCAACCUAUUUUCCCUAAGCAGCCUGCUUUGCCCUAUGGUGCUCCUAUGGCUGUUCCAAAUAGUGUUCAGCUGGGUAGUCCGGGACUCAGGGCGGGGAUGGCUGGUAUUGCUGAUCCAGCACUCAACUCUAAUUUCAUUCAAGGCGCUAAUCUAAUGGGUGGAGGAAUGAAUAUGGUAGGUUUAGGAGCCGGUGGGGUUACUGUUGCAACAGCUUCUCCAGGUGUUUCAUCAGAUGGACUUGGGAAGAGCAAUGGAGAUACACCGUCUGUAUCUCCAGUUCCCUAUGUGUUUAACGGUGGUUUAAGAGGCAGGAAAUACAGCACUGUGGAGAAAGUUGUUGAAAGGAGGCAGAGGAGAAUGAUUAAAAAUAGAGAGUCAGCUGCUAGAUCAAGAGCUCGAAAGCAGAAACUACAUGACUCAAAUCAUCUGUAUAUUGGUAAAACAUUCUCUCAGUCCCAAAAAUUUCGUGAAAGAAAUGGAACUGGCUUCUCAUCAAAGGAGUUUAUCUCACGUUUCCAGUCUAAAAUUUCCCCGUCAAGUUUAUGGGGAAAAGUUUGCUGGUGUUUUUGGGGCUUCACGAGGCCUAUACUAUGGAGCUAGAAGCAGAAGUCGCUAAACUAAAAGAAGAGAACGAAGAACUUCAAAAGAAACAGGAAGAAAUGUUGGAAAUGCAGAAGAAUCAGGUUAUGGAAAUGAUGAACCUUCAAAAGGGAGCUAAAAGGCGAUGCUUGAGACGGACACAGACUGGUCCGUGGUAAAAAAAAGUGGUUCAUAAAUUAGUGAUAUUAGCCAUCAUAUUUACAAACUUAUAGUAGGUGCCUGUACAGAAAGGGAAUAUGUAUUCACUGUAGAUUAGAAGAGAAGAGUUUGUCUUUUUUCUCUAGGUUUUGCAUUCUGUUAAUUUCUUGUUCUCCCUUGUUGGCAUCAUGCAUAGAUUAGACCCAGAUGUAGAAAUGCCUAGUUGAUAGCAGAUACGGAUUAAAAUACAUAUAUUAAUGGUACCUUUUGUAA
Molecule: RNA transcript, 2218 nt
Organism: Capsicum annuum
Lineage: Eukaryota; Viridiplantae; Streptophyta; Magnoliopsida; Solanales; Solanaceae
Gene name: ABSCISIC ACID-INSENSITIVE 5-like protein 5
Exons: 6
Source: RefSeq, a predicted model, not a curated record